Long non-coding RNA from Cyprinus carpio (common carp), 387 nucleotides. RefSeq lists it as uncharacterized. The transcript is spliced from 3 exons. The record is from RefSeq and is a predicted model, not a curated record. Lineage: Eukaryota; Metazoa; Chordata; Actinopteri; Cypriniformes; Cyprinidae.
GGUGUAGAAACCGAGGUAGUCUUGAUGAUACGGGUGCAUCUUCCAUAUUUUGUGCAGGAUAAUAAGAAACUUGACUGAGUUCCUUAGGGUCACCGUUAAACUGCGAUCUUUGAUCACCUGCAGAUCCAUGCUGGAGAAAGCAAAAGAUGGAGGAUUGUGCUCAAAAUCGAAUCUAAUCAAAGAAGACACUAAGAUCUCCUUUGUGCUCACGUUCAAUCUGAUACCAAACUUCUCGUGAACAAUCCCAAAGUGCCCAAAAUAGAAUGAAUCACCUGUAAGUGGGUCUCUAACCAGGUUGAAGAUGGUACCAGGUUUGUGAUCAAUGUUGAAGCACAGAGCAUCAUUCUGAUCUGGCAGCUCAAUGAUGAAGUGUGGAUCUCCAUCAAC